AGAUCCAGACAGUGCGGUUACUGUCUGUAGUGUUUUAUUUAUCUGCCACCGUGCGGCACCUUAAGAUGAACGCGGCGCUCCUGCAUUGUUUACGAGCGCGCGCGUAAGUUCGGCGCGGUCACGUGACUCGCGCGGAGAAUGCCAGCACUGCCCGCUAUUCCGGCGCAGCAGCAACUGAGAAAAAUAAACCGUCCUUUGUGUACUUAGAGUUGCUUAACAUCGGGCUUUUGCCUUUUAUUUGUCAGUAUAACUGCCGUAAAAAAAUCUGACAUAAAAAACAAUUAAAGGACAUUCUCUUAGUCUGAGAAUUUACUAUUCUUGCUGGUGUGGCACCAAAACAAGAUGGUCUCAACAUGGAAAACAAGUUAAUCAACUGAAUAUUAGAGGCAAUGACCAGGAAGAAACCAGAUGAGCUGACCUAGGGAAGCCUGCACAGAGAAUGUGGUCCUGUCACUGGCAAGAUGGCUGAUAAAUCCUGGUGGAAUGAGCAAGACAUGUCUGGGAUGGCCAACCCCCAUCUAUUCAACAAGUACACAUACCACAAUUCUUUUUCUUUCUGUUAAAGCUAAUGUUAACCAGCAAAACCAUGUAUAAAAUACAGUUGUAUGUGCUGUACUUCCCAUCUAAAUCUUGCUGUUGUAGGAUCUGUCCCCAUAAUUUUUGGCUUCACAAAUUCUGAAAUUGUGAAAAUCAUGUCUCUCUUGGUGGACAGAUGUGCUCCGGUUGUGAUAUUAUGGGUUUCUGACCUGAUGUGACCUUUAGCGGAAGGUUGGGUGUGCAAAAUUAAGGCUACAAAAAAGGUAUGCAUUCAUUUUAUCUUUGGCGAACAGUAGCAGCCAGCGUGGGCUGGUGGUGGGGACUAGGAACAUAUCGCUAUUGUUCUCUAGUACCACUAAUUCUAUGCCUUAAUCAUGCAAAAUAUGGUACAUAGCACAUCAUGUUCAUACAGAGCAGACAACAGAUUAGUUUGCAUAAGCAAGUUUUCUGGGAAAAAUCUUCAAUAUGAAUUUUGUAUAUUUUUAAUAAGCUCAUAUAACAUGACCACUUUGCCUUGAUCAUGAUUGAUAUGAGAAGGUAAUAUGCUGUUGCCCCCAUGUAGAUAUUAAAUUCAAUUCUGCUUCAGUCGUAUCCCACAGAUAAACCUCCAUUCCUAUGUGUAGCAUUAAAUAUGCAACACUUAUUCAGUAGUACGAUUCUGAUGUUAAUUAGUUAAGAUAUGAUUUGAAAGUCUUGGGUUGAAAGCGAUUGUCAGUAUAAAGGGAGAGGCAUUGCUUUGUACUUUUUUAGUGCUUGUUUUGUGUCAUGAAUCCAUAUUUGAACCAGCUCCACGUGAAGCACCCUAAUCUGUCUUUACAACGGGAAUGUGCAAUGUUUUCUUUAAUAUAAAUAUGUAUAAAUUUGAUUGUGAAACAAGUGACAAGUUGUUUGACAACAACAAAAUCACCAACGUCUUCCAUUAAAAGAUGUAUAGUCCCAUGUGCAUUAGCUUACUAGCAGGAGCGUAGCACCAGUGUUAAAACUGGCCAUGCAUGAGGUAGUAAUGCUUGCUCAAUAAAAUACUCAUACAAUUAUUCACAAUGUAAAAAAAUGAGACAAGAGAGAUUCUACUCUGCAUAAAGGAAAGUACUAACCAGGAUGCAGUGUGUAUUCUCUUGACCGUCUAAAACUAGAUUUCAAGGAGGAAUUCCACACUGUAGUUUCUUAAACCUUGACAAAUGUGGUAGUCUUGCUAAUAGAAAUACAAUCUUUGGAUUCUCUAUUGUACAAUAUCAUUUUAAAUGUAAUUUUUUUUGUUUGUAUUAGGAAGUGCAAUCUCUUUGACAUCUCUGCAUCUGUAUAUUUCAUACAGUUGUGUCCCGAGACUUAAAGUUCAUUUAUAGUUAUUUAAAAACACAAGGGUUUUAAUUGGCAAAUCUGUAUAUUGAAAUGGAUUUUCCCAAACCUUUCAAAACAGGCAUGAAUAUGCACCCAAAGACACCCUUAAACGUUUGACUUUGAUAUAGACAGGCGAAAGUUUUAGAAUAUGAAACAGGAGUCUCAGACAUAUUCAGAGAUCCAUCUCUGGUGUUAGUAGAAUGGUAAUGUUUGACUAAAAGUUAUCGUCAAAAUAGUUUACUAUUAACACAGUUAUGCAUAGAAUUUAGAGUACAGUUAUGUUAAAACCACAGUCCUGUUUAUAUAUUGCAAUGUAGAUAAAUACCUCAAACUCUGGAAUGCAGAAUGUUUUGAUAGAAUAUCUAUUGCAGAUUAAGCCAUAAAAUAGAUAAUUAGAAGCAAUAAUGUUUAUGCAUGAUAUUGGUGUUGGAUCUGUUGAGUAGUGACUAAUUGUAGCUAUGGUGAAAUGGUUGUAGGGCGGAAAUAGAUUGUCUUGUGUAUAUUAAUUAAAAUUAGAAUGAAGGACAAAAAAACCUUAUAAGGACUUGGGAAAAAAAAAAUUUUUCCAACAAAACUUACUCCUCCAUUGUCCUUUAAAAAAGGGAUUGCCUUAGUUAACACUAUCCAAAUUAUGCUAACACAAAAUAUUAACUAUUGAACGGUUUCUUUUUUUAAACUUGAAUGAAGUAUAGACGUUGAAUUAACAUUAACUUACUUGUUAAACAAAAAUAAUGAUGUUGUAAGACGGUGUCUUCAAAGUCUGGAUGCCCCAGGGAAGUGGUGUCUCCUGGUAGAUAUUUAAAAAGUUGUAGACCUCAAUCCCAGCAACAAGGGGGACUGGCCUCCUGGCAUGUAGGCAUCCAUUUCUCCUGCAUGGACAUGGGUUGCUCCUCUAGUCUGCGCAUGCUGUUUGUCUGUCCUGAAUGGUUCCUGCACUCCAUUUCACAUCUCAUAGCCCCAUCGAUGCAGGACCGCGGCAUGUACUCCAGCUUCCAUGGAUAAACCUCGAUGUACUCGUCUGAAAAGGGUGCCGUGCUCUGAGAAAACACCCUUCCCCCCCACCGGUGCUAAACUUUGCCAGUCAGAGUUAUCUUUGACCUGUGUUCUAGUCUGAUUGUCCAGCUAAGGGUUAUUAUAAGGCUAUUAAGUCUAAGAUUUUGUUUGCAACGGUUUCAAACAUUUAUGCCACUGACCAGUUAAGUUUGUUUCAUUAAGGGAAAAUGUAUGCAGUGUAAACAAAGUAUGGUAUCUGACGAUGGAUUCGUAAUGUUUAAAUCUGAAAGACUUGGUGGUUACUAUUCAUUCGGCUUUCAGAAAAGCACUUGGCUGAGAGGUUAUAGACAGUAGGAAUAUCAACUUCAUGACAAAUGGUAUUCUGUAGUAUCAAGGAAUUAUUUUAACCCUUAUAUAUAUAUAUAUCUUGCAUGCUCUAGUCUAAAUUGUGCUUAGCAAGCUGUCAUUGAAAGCAAUAGGGUCUAUAGUGGUCUUAUUUUGCGUAAAGGUAUUCAGUUAUGGGAAAAAAUAUAUAUUCACCCUAAUAAAUUAGGAUUAAUAGCUAUUAGAAUACAACUAGCAUAAGUUUUUAUGCAGUUUGUUCAUUUUAGCCAAACUAAAAUGUUAUUAGUGAUAUUGCAGUUAUCGUGUGUACUCAGUCUUUUAGCCAACGUAUUAGUCUUUCAUUGGAAGUUUAUCAUUUUUAAAACGUCUAAAGGUUGAGAAUAGCUUACAAGGAAAAGAAUUAAUGCACAAAAUAUGCUACACAGUCCAAGGCUAUGGCUCCUUACUUAAUGCAUGAAAAAUAGGCAAAUAUAUUUUAAUGCAUGCAAUAAUUCACUUUAUAACAACUUAUUUUUUUAGUUGUAGGAUCCAAAUGAUGACAAAUUUAAAAUCGGCAAUUCACUGAUUCUUGUACUGUAAUUCCCAUAUCAGCAGAAAUAGCCCCACAAAUAUCAGAAAGUAUACAAAUCGUGCAACAGGCAUUAAAACUUAAAAUCUUAAAUCCUCUAAGUGCAAGUUACUGCUUAUCAAAUUAAAAUGGUUAAUAAAUUCAAUGGCCAACCAAUCAUGCCCUGAUUAUAAUGAAAGUUACUGCUGAAAUGAAGCCAAAUUUCCAUUUUCUUUUAGAGGAAAAACUGUUGUCAAUAAAACUGCAAAAAAAAAUUUACAAAAAAGAAAAUGGCUCAUGAACAUUUGCAAUUCCUAAAAUUUCAUAGGACAUUGCCAAUUACAGGAUUUAAUUUUUGUACUCGGUACCAGCAUGCAAGAGAAUUCUAAAAUACAGUGUUGAUAAAAUGCCUAAUGUGUUUUUUUACCUUUUGGAAGUGAAUUGGCCAACUUCAUUGUGAUUUUGGGUCUAAAAGUUACACUUGAAUAAUGGAUUACAAAUGGGAUUUUUACACUAACUGCUGUAACGGGAAACCAUGACUACUGAAAAUGUUGGCUGUAAAUAAGUAAACUAUGCAUUUCAGAAAUGACCGUGGGAGACACAGGGCAUGUUUUGUGGAGACUCUCUCUGGCUUUGUAAAACUGCGAACUCUGCACCCAGUAAUUUUAGCAAUAAAAGCAGCAUGGUGCCAAUUGCACAAAA
Molecule: long non-coding RNA, 4462 nt
Organism: Brienomyrus brachyistius
Lineage: Eukaryota; Metazoa; Chordata; Actinopteri; Osteoglossiformes; Mormyridae
Exons: 3
Source: RefSeq, a predicted model, not a curated record